UACGUAGGGCGCAAGCGUUAUCCGGAAUUAUUGGGCGUAAAGAGCUUGUAGGCAGUUUGUCGCGUCUGCUGUGAAAAUCCGGGGCUCAACCCCGGACUUGCAGUGGGUACGGGCAGACUAGAGUGUGGUAGGGGAGACUGGAAUUCCUGGUGUAGCGGUGAAAUGCGCAGAUAUCAGGAGGAACACCGAUGGCGAAGGCAGGUCUCUGGGCCACUACUGACGCUGAGAAGCGAAAGCAUGGGGAGCGAACAGG
Molecule: ribosomal RNA, 253 nt
Filed under: uncultured bacterium
Lineage: Bacteria
Description: partial 16S ribosomal RNA
Rfam family: Bacterial small subunit ribosomal RNA
Source: RNAcentral